Long non-coding RNA from Tachysurus vachellii, 217 nucleotides. RefSeq lists it as uncharacterized. The transcript has 3 exons. The record is from RefSeq and is a predicted model, not a curated record. NCBI's taxonomy places the organism in Eukaryota, Metazoa, Chordata, Actinopteri, Siluriformes, Bagridae.
GUGGGAGAGAAGGAAACUCAACCAAAUGCAAAUAAAUUUGCAGGAGUUGAGAAAUGAAGUCCAUUCUCUUAAAAAUUAAAAUGCACGUCUGAAAGACAUUAUCAUCAAUCAAAUCCCUCAAAUGAAAAGUGACCUCGCCAUUAUUGCUCAAAAGACUGGAAGGACUCCUGUGGAGGAUCUUGAUUCCUCCUUCUCGACUUUUGGAGAAGUGCAACCG